UAUCAAUAAGCGGAGGAAAAGAAACCAACAGGGAUUGCCCCAGUAACGGCGAGUGAAGCGGCAACAGCUCAAAUUUGAAAUCUGGCCCCUCUCGGGGUCCGAGUUGUAAUUUGUAGAGGAUGCUUUUGGCGAGGCGCCGCCCGAGUUCCCUGGAACGGGACGCCACAGAGGGUGAGAGCCCCGUCUGGCUGGCCGCCGAGCCUCUGUAAAGCUCCUUCGACGAGUCGAGUAGUUUGGGAAUGCUGCUCAAAAUGGGAGGUAUAUGUCUUCUAAAGCUAAAUACUGGCCAGAGACCGAUAGCGCACAAGUAGAGUGAUCGAAAGAUGAAAAGCACCUUGAAAAGAGGGUUAAAUAGUACGUGAAAUUGUUGAAAGGGAAGCGCUUGUGACCAGACUUGGGCGCGGCGGAUCAUCCGGGGUUCUCCCCGGUGCACUUCGCCGCGUCCAGGCCAGCAUCAGUUCGUCGCGGGGGAUAAAGGCUUCGGGAACGUGGCUCCUCCGGGAGUGUUAUAGCCCGCUGCGCAAUACCCUGCGGUGGACUGAGGACCGCGCAUCUGCAAGGAUGCUGGCGUAAUGGUCACCAGCGACCCGUCUUGAAACACGGACCAAGGAGUCGUCUUCGUAUGCGAGUGUUCGGGUGUCAAACCCCUACGCGUAAUGAAAGUGAACGCAGGUGAGAGCUUCGGCGCAUCAUCGACCGAUCCUGAUGUUCUCGGAUGGAUUUGAGUAAGAGCAUACGGGGCCGGACCCGAAAGAAGGUGAACUAUGCCUGUAUAGGGUGAAGCCAGAGGAAACUCUGGUGGAGGCUCGCAGCGGUUCUGACGUGCAAAUCGAUCGUCAAAUAUGGGCAUGGGGGCGAAAGACUAAUCGAACCUUCUAGUAGCUGGUUUC
RNAcentral lists this ribosomal RNA (890 nucleotides) under Trichoderma stercorarium. RNAcentral's name for it is "LSU rRNA". It matches the Rfam family "Eukaryotic large subunit ribosomal RNA", at positions 41 to 958 of the family's 3401-position model. The record is from RNAcentral. Lineage: Eukaryota; Fungi; Ascomycota; Sordariomycetes; Hypocreales; Hypocreaceae.